Molecule: ribosomal RNA, 514 nt
Filed under: uncultured bacterium
Lineage: Bacteria
Description: partial 16S ribosomal RNA
Rfam family: Bacterial small subunit ribosomal RNA
Source: RNAcentral
GAUGAACGCUGGCGGCGUGCCUAAUACAUGCAAGUCGAGCGAACUGAUUAGAAGCUUGCUUCUAUGACGUUAGCGGCGGACGGGUGAGUAACACGUGGGCAACCUGCCUGUAAGACUGGGAUAACUUCGGGAAACCGAAGCUAAUCCCGGAUAGGUUCUUCUCCUUCAUGGGAGAUGAUUGAAAGAUGGUUUCGGCUAUCACUUACAGAUGGCCCCGCGGUGCAUUAGCUAGUUGGGGAGGUAACGGCUCACCAAGGCAACGAUGCAUGGCCGACCUGAGAGGGUGAUCGGCCACACUGGGACUGAGACACGGCCCAGACUCCUACGGGAGGCAGCAGUAGGGAAUCUUCCGCAAUGGACGAAAGUCUGACGGAGCAACGCCGCGUGAGUGAUGAAGGCUUUCGGGUCGUAAAACUCUGUUGUUAGGGAAGAACAAGUACAAGAGUAACUGCUUGUACCUUGACGGUACCUAACCAGAAAGCCACGGCUAACUACGUGCCAGCCGCCGCAGUAA